UACGGGGGAUGCGAGCGUUAUCCGGAUUUAUUGGGUUUAAAGGGUGCGUAGGCGGCGCUUCAGGUCAGCGGUGAAAUACCGGGGCUCAACCCCGGGGCUGCCGUUGAAACUGGCAGUCUCGAGUUGGAGAGAAGUAUGCGGAAUGCGCGGUGUAGCGGUGAAAUGCAUAGAUAUCGCGCAGAACUCCGAUUGCGAAGGCAGCAUGCCGGCUCCACACUGACGCUGAGGCACGAAAGCGUGGGUAUCGAACAGG
RNAcentral lists this ribosomal RNA (253 nucleotides) under uncultured Bacteroidales bacterium. Its description in RNAcentral is "partial 16S ribosomal RNA". It matches the Rfam family "Bacterial small subunit ribosomal RNA", at positions 524 to 776 of the family's 1533-position model. The record is from RNAcentral. Lineage: Bacteria; Pseudomonadati; Bacteroidota; Bacteroidia; Bacteroidales.